Molecule: ribosomal RNA, 467 nt
Filed under: uncultured bacterium
Lineage: Bacteria
Description: bacterial SSU rRNA
Rfam family: Bacterial small subunit ribosomal RNA
Source: RNAcentral
UAGGGAAUAUUGGACAAUGGGUGAGAGCCUGAUCCAGCCAUGCCGCGUGCAGGAAGAAGGCGUUAUGCGUUGUAAACUGCUUUUUGCCAGGGGAUAAAAAGACCGUGCGCGGUUAAUUGAAGGUACCUGGUGAAUAAGCCACGGCUAACUACGUGCCAGCAGCCGCGGUAAUACGUAGGUGGCAAGCGUUGUCCGGAUUUAUUGGGUUUAAAGGGUGCGUAGGUGGCCCUGUAAGUCAGUGGUGAAAUAUCUCAGCUUAACUGAGAGGGUGCCAUUGAUACUGCAGGGCUUGAGUACAGAUGAGGUAGGCGGAAUUGACGGUGUAGCGGUGAAAUGCAUAGAUAUCGUCAAGAACACCGAUAGCGAAGGCAGCUUACCAAGCUGUAACUGACACUGAGGCACGAAAGUGUGGGGAUCAAACAGGAUUAGAUACCCUUGUAGUCCCUGAGCGGGCUGGCAAGGCGCAU